RNAcentral lists this long non-coding RNA (1328 nucleotides) under Volvox carteri. Its description in RNAcentral is "long non-coding RNA (VCAR_LNC000549)". The record is from RNAcentral. Lineage: Eukaryota; Viridiplantae; Chlorophyta; Chlorophyceae; Chlamydomonadales; Volvocaceae.
UUUACAUCGCUCUGUGAAGUAUAGGUAAGUCAGAUAGGAUUUGCAAAGGCAGGAAGCACCGCAUCAACCCACCGCUAUGCUUUCCCAUAGCUUCCAGUAAUCUGUUUCCGUCAAGUUUGCAUGCCUGCAGACCUCAUACGCAAGCUUGCGCAGAUGCGGAUUUGCUGCAGGCUUGCUAAGAAGAUCCUGAAUACCAAAGGUGAAAUUUGCAAAGUUCAGGUAACAAGCAAGACCGUGGCCAACUGAUCAAUGAGCGAGGGUCCACCUGAAGUAGCUCAGGCGCAGUAUGUGAUACAUCAUUGCCACUAGAUGCGGCACCUAAGAUGCCAAUUAAGAUGUUUGCCUGCGUUGAUACUUCCGCGCUAGAAAGGGCCAUCACAGGCAUUUUUAGAGGAAGGGCUACAUUGACCUGAUCGAAUUAAUUUUGACGAAAUGUAAUCCCUAAGACAAAGCCUUAAAAGGAAGUUGUCACGGCAACUGUAAUUCCAUGUAAUUCCAAAUCUUAAGCUUUUGUGCAAAUGAUAGGUGUGUUCUAUACAGGACGCAGUGGACAUAUAGCAGUGAAGAUUGGGAAAUGUAAACGACAUGCUGACUUAAAGAAACUGUACACGACGUCCCACGGGCCCUGGAGCGAUUCAUUUUUACACACGCUGUUAAUCUUUACACACACAAAUCCCGUAUAUAAGAAUUCGUAUUCCACGAAGGUAUGGUAUCUCCUGCUGUAUGCACCUCCUGCUCUGUGCAUAUCCAUGUAGGGCCAUUGGCACAUGGCCAUGCGUAUCGCUAUGGGCCAACACGCAUGCUUACGGCCUUAUGCUAUACCGUUUCGGAUUUACAUAUAACACCAGGAACAGCGUCUAGCAAGGAAAACACGUUUUGGAUAAAACCGCUUGCCAUGCCUGCAGUACCCAUACCGCAUAGACCCCGUACAAAAUAAAAAUCCCGCAUAACAGCAUUUGGCAGAGUGGAGGCCCCCCAAGCACCUUAAAGUGCACCAACUACGGUUUAUGUCGAGCUAAUGACAUGGCUAUUUAAGCUGACAUAGAUCAUGGUAGAAAUCCCAACUAGCCUGAACGUCCCGAGCAAAGGUUGCAACAGCUCAGUAGUUCCAUAGGGCUCUUAGGCGGCGUGUCACCCUAACCGACCAGACUGACGUCCCACCUUAGACAUAAGCAUCUCAAAACCUGAUACGAGUGGCUUUCUAUGCUUCAGUUGCGCGGUCGUCCAACCAGAUACACUUCAUUCCUCGGCCUGAUCUCCAGACACAGAGGAUAGUAAUCCGGGCAAGUUCCGGAAUAGCUUCUCCUCCAGCUUUAGCGUCUUCACCU